GAGUUUACAGAAGUAAAUCAAGAUUGACGUGUUUGUGAACGAUGAAGAUUCAAGACCAAUCAUCACCGAUUCCUAAAUUUUAUGUUACUAGGAUCAAUCAUCCUGUUAUUAUUGUCAUCUAUUUAUAUGUAUACCAUACAACAUUUUGAUUGACAAACCAAGGCGGAUUUGGCGUUGCUGUCUCCGUCAUUCACAAACACGUCGAACUUGGCCUAUUUUCAUGGUUACGGCUUCAGAUUGAAGACAUAUGGUGAGCAUUGGGUUUAGGAAACCGGACCCUUAAUUUCAUCGAGGUAAAAGGUCUUUUUGUGAACCAUCUCAUUUUAGUUGCAAAAUACCAUAAAAUAUGUUACAUUUUGUUACUAUAUUUAUGUUACAAAUCAUUUAUUAUUAAAUUGUUGUAUUCAAAUUUGAUAUAUAUUGAUUAAAGUAGUUGAUGCUUGAUUGUGUGUUCCUGUUUUCUAGGGAUGGCAAUCGAACCUGAUGGGUAAAUUCGAAACUCGAAACAUUUGGGACGGGUUUGGGUCUAGUAAUCGGGUUUGGGAUCGGGUAUGAGAUUAGUUUUAAUUUUUUUCAUGGGUUUGGGAUUUGAUGAUAUACCCAUUUACCUGACUGGAUUACCCGAUAAAGUGUACCCGUUUACCUGACAUAAUUUAUUUCAAUAUUUUAUAUAUAUAAAUAUAAAUAUUCUUUUCUUUUUUAUUAUGGAAACCCAAAAUCCCAAUUCUCAGAUCCCCUGCGUCAUUUUGAAUUAGUCACACAAUGGUUCUUUUCACAUUAUUAGAAACAACAUCGAAGUUAAAUAACAUCAAAGAAAGUUAAAGUUUAAUCUUGUAACUAAGAUUUGGUGCAACUCUUUUUGAAACAUCAAGAUUGUGCUAAGAAUCGUUAAACAUUAGCUUUUGUCAUCUAUAAAUUUGAGUAUUUUUUUUUACAUUUAGGUAUUUUAUAUACUUUGCCAUUAUUUGAUAUAUUUUCGUAAUGAUAAUGCUUUCGUAGUUACCCAAUGGUACCCUACGGGUUUGGGUUGUGUAUACCCAACAGGUAAUUUUUUUAGAUUAACGGGUUUACCCGAUACCCUACCGGUCUUUACCCGAUAGAACUUUGGCGGGUUUUGAGAUGGGUUUAUUUAAUCAGGUUUGAAGUUGAGAUUACCUAAACCCGUCACAUUGCCAUUCCUAGUAUUUCCUAAUUCCUAAUGCUCAAACAUUAUUCUUUGCACUGUUGGAUUUUAAGUCUUUAAAUAUUUGGGCUUGGUAAAACCUAUAUGACUUUAGGCCUCUUUUGGUCGAUCAUUGUUUUUUUUUUUUUUUUUUUUUUUUUUUUUUUUUUUUUUUUUUUUUUUUGCCUAAGUUAUAAACCUAUGUUUUGUGCUGAGCAUAAUAAAGAAUAUCUGAUUGUAGCUCAUGAAGGUAGGAUUCAUACCGAAUCCAAACUAUAUAAAUUAUCAUGUUGCUUUUUAUUGCUUUUGCGUGUGUAUGUGUUUCCCCAACCUUCAUAUUAAGAAAAUAGCAAGAUACCUUAAUAUUAAAAUAAUUUAUUUUUAUUAUUGAAUAUAACCAUAAAGAUCAGACCAUGAAAACAAAUUAACUUGCAUAACAGUACAAGAACAACUCCCGGUAGUGACCAAUGCAACGCCGUUCUGGGACAUGGUGAAAAAGGUGAACGAGGCCAAUGGUUCAACAACAUUGAAAAAAAAAAACUAUUCUUUAUGCCUCCAUUUGGAAGAUCUGGAAGACCCGAAACGAUUGCAUUUUUAAUAGCAUCUCGUUUUCAGUUUUGAAAGCCGUAGAUGGCAUAAAGGACUCGUUUAUGUGGCCUAAACAAAGAGCGCCUUUUAGUUAUUUAGUUUGGGAGAGAUGGAGGGAUUUUAAUGUCCGGGAUAUUAUUGUCUAAUGUUCGUUUUUUCUUUUAGAACUUCCAGCUUCAUAUUCUAUUUUAUGAUCUAAUAAUAAAAUAGCCACCGUUUGGAAAAAAAAAAUUACAAGAACAACUUUUUAUGCAAAAGGUACAGCAGUAUGUGUGGAAGUGGAUCAGAUCAUGCAAAUCUGAAUGCUGAAUUCAAACAAAAGAACCUAAAAGAUAAGUGAUAAACAUUAAAUAGAUAUGUGGCUGAAAUCUCAAGUCAAGAUAAAAAAAAAUAAAAAAUAGAAAAUAAAAACUAAAAAUAAAAAUAAAUGAAGUAAUUAAAGAACCUUUAUCAUCUUAAACACAUGAUCUACUGUUGAAGUAAAAUAUUAUAUUACUUUUAAAACUUGUGUUUAUCAUCUUAAAUUUAAGUUGACAAACUCAAAAAAAAUAAUUUAACACCUAAACAGAACCAUUUUUAACACUCUAUUUUGUGCUUGUGUUUUUUAAAGAUAACUCAUUCUUGAACACACAUGCAUGAUGUUGUCCUCAAUCUUAAAAUUAUGUCAAUCUUUUGUGGAAUGAGAAGGCAGCCAACAUGGGCAUUGGUGUUGUCCUAAUGCAGCCUUCAUGAGGGCAUUGUCGCCUAGACCGGCAGGCUAUGUCCAUAUACAAAAAAAAAAAAAAAAAAGAACUAAUUGCCACUAUGCGCGUGAUAAAACGCCGACCUCUCGACAGCACACAUUAUAAUCAAGACAUACAAAAAAAAAAAAAAAAAAACUUAGAAAGCACCUUUUGGACCAGAAA
Molecule: long non-coding RNA, 2655 nt
Organism: Helianthus annuus (common sunflower)
Lineage: Eukaryota; Viridiplantae; Streptophyta; Magnoliopsida; Asterales; Asteraceae
Exons: 2
Source: RefSeq, a predicted model, not a curated record